CACAGAGCCUCAUUCCUUAUCCAUCCUCUUGACUUAAAUUCCUUCCCCUGUUUGGGCUCCACAUCCAUGACUGUCAUAGUUGAGAUGGAGACAAUACAAAGAAACAUUCCAUUUUCAGAAGGGUUCAAACUGGUUUUAUUCCAACAUGCAUACCUUUUAUACAUUCUUACUAAACUCAUAAGUUUGCACUCUACUCAUUGGUCAGGAAAGACAAAGUGCUCAUUGGAACAGGCAGUUGCAGAAGUCACUGUAAAAGCUCUUCCACCCUGCCCCUCUGAAGUCAGGCUCCUGUGCAAGGUGCUUCCAACGAGGGAGACACAGACUGGUGUCUUCCAGCCACGGGAUCUUUUCACACGGGUGGAAAUGAACAUGUCACCAUCAUCACCAUUUUGGAGCCAGGAUGGUAAAAAUUUGGGGGUUUGACAUUAUCUCCUACCUCUCCCCUUUGAGUGUGGAGCCUUCCUUGACCAUUUCAAGCCUGUCCUGAUGCACUGAGGAGCUGAAGCCCUGCAAUUUGAACCCCAGAGUCCCCUGAAAAGAGAAGCCCACCCAUGUGAUGGAUUAAACUUUUUCCUUGUAAAUGAAGAUAUAGUCCCUUGGACAGAUAAUUUUCUGACAAAAUGGAUUGAACCAUCUUUCUGUUAUAUUUAGCCUCA
Long non-coding RNA from Passer domesticus (house sparrow), 656 nucleotides. RefSeq lists it as uncharacterized. The record is from RefSeq and is a predicted model, not a curated record. NCBI's taxonomy places the organism in Eukaryota, Metazoa, Chordata, Aves, Passeriformes, Passeridae. The transcript is spliced from 3 exons.